GUCUCUCCUCCCGACGCCUCGCUCGUUCCCAUAAAAAAAUCCCCUCGGUCUCUCCUCCCCGUCUCUCCUCCCGACGCGACGGCGACAGGCGACGGCGCCACCCGCGGGCGGGCUUCCCCUCUCUCUGUCCCUCUCCUCCGGCGUUGCGGCGUGCUAGGUGGCCAAGGACCGUGGCCUCCUCUUCACGCGAUGCCGGGGUGUUGGCGCCCUCCACGGGCGCUCGACGAAACCCUAGGUACCUGUUCCUCACCGUCGGCGGUGGCGGCGAAGCUCACCGGCUUCAUCCCAUCGGGAGACAGAAUGUCCAAAUGAUUUGGCUAUCCAGUCCCUUUUAUCAGCAGUGGAUUCAUUUGGUGCUGAUUACAAGCUUCUUGGGAUACAGGCUUCCAGGGAGCCAACGACAUGAUAUAAGAAACUUUUCAUGCUUCCAUUGGCCCAAUUCUACAAUGGCAUUGUCAGGUUUUAUGUGUCUCACAAAACUCAUUCGCUUUCCUGCACUCAAAUCACAGUUUAGUGUACUUAGAGCAACUGUGUUUUUACUUUCCAGUCACCCUUUCACAACUGGACUUAACAGAUGGAAACAUGCGGAUAAAGUAAUUUAGUUGGAGCUAUUGGAAUUUACGGCUCAUAGUACCUGUUCUCUUUGCGUUUCCUUGCAUCUAAUUUUCAUGGAUUUGCCAUGUUUAAUUUAAUUCUAGGAGCAAAGGAAGAGAUUACACAGGAUGGCCAUGCGGUUCUGCAUUGGUUUUGUGUCAGGGAGGACUAAAUGGUCCGUGGACAAUUUGUUCAGAUCUUUGAUAUCGUCCUCAUCUUCUUUGCAAUUCCAGUUUGAUCCCCCUAAGGCUGGGGUUCCAAUGCAUCACAUAUUUGACCAUAAAUGUAGCGGAUAUAGAAUGGGUGGUUAGUACCUACUAUAAAAUUUAUCACUACCGGUUUCUGAAAGAUAUAUUUAUGUACUCCUAUUGAUCGUUUAGUACUCUAGCCAAAUUCCUUUUGACUUUUCAUGCUCAUAGGUCAUCCAACUUUGUAUUUAUUUUUGGCGCUCCAUCUUCCUGUCUAUUAAUUGAUAUCGGUUUGUUGCCAACCCUUCUCUGGCACUAAUCGGUCUAAGAGUUUUUCCAACCAUAUCGAAGACAUCUAUAUGUUUCUAUCCUCACUUCAUCAUCAUAAAUGAAUUAUAUAGGUGUCGUAAGAGUUCUUGCAAGUCGAAGCUUUUGAAAACCUCAGUAAUGCUAUUGGAAUCUUGGUCAUCUCCACAGAAUAUUCAGCCUCAAGCAUUUUGCCUGUGUUUUUAAUAAUAUUCCUGUCCUUGCACAAAAAACUUACUUUGACUGAUCUUCAGGUAAGCUACCUGUGCACUAAAGUUUCUUUAUUUUCUGCUCUCAUACUUGCCUUUCCUCUCUAUACCUAUCAUACCGUCAUCCACUUCCUAAAGCAAACCUUGUGGUGUUUAACUAUAGACUAACAAGAUAUGCAAUUAACCACUCUCUUUCACAGUUCAAAAUUGUGUUACACGCACUGCUCCAUGUGUAAAAGGAGACCAGCUAAGCACUCUCUUCGAGAAUUAAAAAAUGGGUUCCAAGACCUGAUGCUUGUGUUCAAGGAAACCAGCUACACGAAGGCUCACAUACCUUCCUUCUUAGGAUGCUGUGUCUGAAGCUGAGAAGACCAUAGGGUGCUAUGUGGAAGCCAGCUGGGAAGCCAGAACAUACAACUCUCAUGGGAGGUCAUAUUCCCUUUGUUGAAUUUUUGUUUCAGCCUCAACAAGAGCCGGACCAAUUUAGUGGUGGCUAUUAUGGGUAUCCCCAAGGAUACUAUCCAUAUGGUUGCUUGCCCCCUCAAAAUCCUGCCAUAUACACCUACACAACAAUAUCCAAGGUAUCAAAGUUACCAACAGCAGCCAGCAUUGCAGCCUCCACCAUAACAGUAGGAGUAAAGAUGACCCGAGAGGAUCUUUUGCAAACUGCCCCCAAUGUUGUUGGGGCAGCAUCUUUGGUGCAUCAGCACGACAAUCUCCUUACUUUUGCACUGUUAUAUGUAUGUUCCAUAGAAUGUGUUCAGUUAUGUCCAGGGAAACAAUGCUACCUAUGAUUCCGUCUAUUGUACAACAACACCAUGCCCAAAGCCACAUUUACAUGUACAAAUCAUGUGGCAUCGCACGUAUUGUAUGCCUAUGCUUCAUUACUCCCUAACACCAUAUGUAAUAUAUUCUUAUUUGUUGUAAGACCAAUUACAGCCACUUACUUUUAAUUAA
Sorghum bicolor (sorghum) is the source of this 2254-nucleotide long non-coding RNA. RefSeq lists it as uncharacterized. The record is from RefSeq and is a predicted model, not a curated record. NCBI's taxonomy places the organism in Eukaryota, Viridiplantae, Streptophyta, Magnoliopsida, Poales, Poaceae. The transcript has 4 exons.